AACGCGAAGAACCUUACCUGGGCUUGACAUGUGAGUGACCGGUGUGGAAACACACCUUCCCUUCGGGGCACUUUCACAGGUGGUGCAUGGCUGUCGUCAGCUCGUGUCGUGAGAUGUUGGGUUAAGUCCCGCAACGAGCGCAACCCCCGUCGCAUGUUGCCAGCAUUCAGUUGGGGACUCAUGCGAGACUGCCGGUGACAAACCGGAGGAAGGUGGGGAUGACGUCAAGUCCUCAUGCCCCUUAUGUCCAGGGCUACACACGUGCUACAUUGGCGCAUACAGAGGGCUGCGAUACCGCGAGGUGGAGCGAAUCCCUUAAAGUGCGUCUCGGUUCGGAUUGCAGGCUGAAAUUCGCCUGCAUGAAGGCGGAGUUGCUAGUAAUCGCGGAUCAGCAUUGCCGCGGUGAAUACGUUCCCGGGUCUGUACACACCG
RNAcentral lists this ribosomal RNA (432 nucleotides) under uncultured bacterium. RNAcentral's name for it is "bacterial SSU rRNA". It matches the Rfam family "Bacterial small subunit ribosomal RNA", at positions 958 to 1392 of the family's 1533-position model. The record is from RNAcentral.